Molecule: ribosomal RNA, 468 nt
Filed under: uncultured bacterium
Lineage: Bacteria
Description: partial 16S ribosomal RNA
Rfam family: Bacterial small subunit ribosomal RNA
Source: RNAcentral
GACGAACGCUGGCGGCGUGCUUAACACAUGCAAGUCGAACGGUGAAGCUCGAGGUUGCUGGCGUGGAUCAGUGGCGAACGGGUGAGUAACACGUGAGCAAACUGCCCCUGACACUGGAAUAAGAGUUGGGAAAGGCGUCUCUUACUGGAUACGAGAAGGGUCAGCACGUGCACUUUCUGGGAAGUUUUGCGGUUGGGGAUGGUCUAGCAGCCUAUCAGCUUGUUGGUGAGGUAGUGGAUGUCAAAGGCGACGACGGGUAGCCGGCCUGGGAGGGCGACCGGCCACACUGGGACUACGACACGGCCCAGUCUCGAACGUGAGGCAGCAGGGGGGAAUAUUACACAAUGGGCCAACGCCUGUUGCGGCGACGCCGCGUGAGGAAUGACGUCCUACUAGUUGUAAACCUCUUUCAGCAGAGAAGAAGCGAAAGUGACGGUACCUGCAGAAGAAGCACCGGCUAACUACGUG